This 676-nucleotide ribosomal RNA is filed under the name uncultured bacterium. Its description in RNAcentral is "bacterial SSU rRNA". It matches the Rfam family "Bacterial small subunit ribosomal RNA", at positions 8 to 694 of the family's 1533-position model. The record is from RNAcentral.
AGAGUUUGAUCCUGGCUCAGGACGAACGCUGGCGGUGUGCUUCACACAUGCAAGUCGAGCGGAUGAAAACAGUAGCUUGCUACUGUUGGAUUUAGCGGCGGACGGGUGAGUAAUAUAUAGGAAUCUGCCCUAAUGCGGGGAACAACAGACCGAAAGGUCUGCUAAUGCCCCAUAGGUAUGCAGUCUUCGGAUUGUAUAUUAAAGGAGUAAUCCACUUUAGGAUGAGCCUGUAUCCGAUUAGCUUGUUGGCGGGGUAAUGGCCCACCAAGGCUACGAUCGGUAGUUGGUCUGAGAGGAUGAUCAGCCACAAUGGGACUGAGACACGGCCCAUACUCCUACGGGAGGCAGCAGUGGGGAAUUUUACACAAUGGGGGAAACCCUGAUGUAGCGACACCGCGCGAACGAAGAAGCCUUUUGGGGUGUAAAGUUCUGUCGGCUGGAACGAAAAAAAUGACGGUACCAGCAAAGGAAGCAUCGGCUAACUACGUGCCAGCAGCCGCGGUAAGACGUAGGAUGCGAGCGUUGUCCGGAUUUAUUGGGCGUAAAGAGUUCGUAGGCGGUUAUUUAAGUCUGAUGUUAAAUACUGUGGCCUAACCACAGAACUGCAUUGGAUACUGGAUGACUUGAGUGCGGUAGAGGCAAGUGGAAUUCCCAGUGUAGCGGUGAAAUGCGUAGA